Cornus florida is the source of this 5092-nucleotide long non-coding RNA. RefSeq lists it as uncharacterized. Lineage: Eukaryota; Viridiplantae; Streptophyta; Magnoliopsida; Cornales; Cornaceae. The transcript is spliced from 3 exons. The record is from RefSeq and is a predicted model, not a curated record.
AACCUCAUAUGUUUCCUUCUUUAUUUUCCUUGUUUAAUUAUAUUCUUCUACUCUACUCCACUCACCCUUAUUUCAUCUACUCUCUCUCUCUAGACUAAUGAUCAUGUAAUCUUGCAUGUCCUCUGUCUUUCUCUACAGAUAUAUAUAUAUAUAUAUAUAUAUAUAUAUAUAUAUACACACCAAUUGGGAAUGGUUGUUAGGGUUUCGGGAAAAUCACAUGCACCAUUGUUUUGACUUAUAUCAACCGUGAGUCAAAAUUUCUUUCACGUGCCAAAGGUAGCAGAUUAUGAAAGUUUCACACGUUUGAACCCUUGAAGAUCUUUUAUGUUCUCUAUAAAAUCAGCUUUGAACCCAGAAUUAAUGGAUUAAACUGAGUUCAAGUUACUGACACCACGUACUUCUUUGUCGGUCGCCAUCUCAUCUUCUGCUAGGGUUUUGCCAAAGAUGGUUAAUUUGGUUUGCAAGAAUUGUGAAGUAUUACAGUAUAUGUAAGUUUUAUGGUUACAGAACUGUCGAAAUAAAUUGAACUCUGACAAGGAGAAGUCAAACAGAAAGGAGGAAUCGCAUCAAGCUGGACAAAUAGUGGAAUGACAUGAUGAAACAUGAAGAGCUUUGGUUGGAGGUGUAAUAAAGGAGUUAGUAAUGAGCCAAGUUGCUCGAUCUUGUCUUUGAAUGUACAUGAACUAAGCCUUAGCCUGAUGGAAUUCAGUAAGAGACUAAAGGGAGGAAGAUAUGCUUAUGAAAAUUCUAUUGUUCCGGCACUCCAACCAAAUAGCAAUGAAACAAGCUGCAAGGGCCAAUCUGUGAGUUAGUAGAGAUAGAAUUCUGCCGGUAUGUUAGAGGGAACCCAUGAGAUGAGGUACAUUGGUGUUGAAAAUGUGACCAAAACAAUGAAAGAGAAGAUGGAGUAUGGGAUUCCAUUUGCUAAGAGGCAAAGAAUGCAGGUUUGUCGAGGGUAGAAAGUUUUUAAGGGAUACAAGCCACAGAAGGAAGUUGUGGUGAGGGAUGUGAGAUUUAAAGCAUACAAUGUGCUAAGGUGGGUAAGGAUGUGGAGGAAAGAAAAAGAAAAUGAAGGAGUACGUGGUGGAAGAUAGCUAGACAAAGAAAGGUGGCAGAAUUGAGGGGAUUAAUGGAAGGGACUAGGGACGAGAGAAAUGUCUCUCAAUUCUGGGAUAAUUCAAGCUAUGCCAGUAGGAAUUGUUAAUUGUCCAUUUUGAAUGACAAAGCUUACACAUAUAUAUAUGUGUGUGUGUAGCAAUAGAGCAGCUCAAGGUAGAAGAUUGUAGAUUCUAAUGUGUAAAAGGACCUAGCUGAUGCAAUGAAUCAAACCAAAAAGAAAGUAUCAAGCCCAUUAUCAUUUUCUUCCGAGAUAAGAGGGGCUAGCUAAAAGCCUGAGCUGAAGUAGUUUACUCAAAGUUCAAGAGUAGUCAGUUCGACAUUUGAAAACCUAGAAAUUUCUUCUAAGCUAGUCCGCUGAAAAUUUCGGAUUAAGGAGUAGUUGAUUCAUGAGAUGAUACUUUUAGGGAUAAUGAAGGUACUCAUCCAUUAAAGUUGAUUGCAAUAGAAAAUGGAUUUGAAUGUUGUAACUAGGUUUGAAUAAUUAGAAAUUUAAAGUGUUGAUGCUAUUUUGGGUUAAAAAAGUGAGUCCCGCGUGGGUCCACAGUGGAACGUAAUUCUUUUUAAAAAAAAAAAUUAUUAUAUGGUUCAAGAUCAUUAAUUCCGACCAAUCAUCAAUUGGUACUAAACAAAAAUAAAAUAAAACACUUACACAUUUACUUGUCAAUCGGUGAUUGGUCCGGACCAAUAGUUCUGAGACCCUGUAAUAAUUCUUCCACAGAGAAUAUAUAGAUAAUUUGGAAGUAUAUUUAUUUGUUCAAAAUAGUUUCUAGGCGAAUGAGAUAUUGUGCCUCAAACAGAAGUAUUUGACAAGCGUGAAACAAAAUACUAAGUAGAUGAGUAUGUAUGAAAGUGUUGUCCCUGAAUGGAAUCUAAAGAAACUUUUAAUGGGUAUAUUUAUAGAUAUAUGUAAAUAAGAGUUCACAACCAAAAUGGUAUUAUGGGCAUGGCUUUGACUCAAUCAAACUACACAUUUAACUAAAUAUUACACGUUGGGCCUGUAGUUAAAUGUGUUAGUUAACUAAAUAUUACACGUUGGGCCUGUUGUUAAAUGUGUUAGUUGGCGAUGAAAUUCGGGUAGGUGCGGGUGGGUGGUUACCCAUACAUCCAAACGGGUAUAGGGUGUGUUGAUUAACCCAUUAUGGCUCAAAAUGGGUCAGAUAAAAGGAUGCAACCCAUACAUCCGAACGGGUACAGGGUAUCUUGAUUAACCAUUGUGGCUCAUAAUGGUUCAGAUAAAAGCAUGCAACCCAUGCCCCUUCAGGUUAGACCGAAUAGGCACCUCUGGGUCUAUAAAUACCAAAACCCCAUUUGAUUCAUUCAUUUCCACAAAUUCUUAUGUCCCUCUCUCAACGUGAACAAAUUGAUUUGGUUAUAGCGAUGGUCGAGUAGUCCGAGAUCCAAAUCAAUGCGGUCAAGCUAUAUAGUCUUCUGGUACAACCAAAUGCUUCGUUGAAUCCAAUUCCUUAUUUUAGCAGUAUAGGUGUUACUUUGAGUCAGAAAGUAUUACACAGUAUGGGUUUGCUAGUUCCAUUGGUUUGGAGUGCAGCUACCGGUUAAGGGUGGCUGGAGCCUUAGGCGAGUUAGGCAGUUAACUAAAGCCCCAUCCAAUACGUAGGUCCCACAAUUUUUUUUAUUUCUUUAUAUAUUAUAACUUUCCUAAAACAGUUAUAGUAUUUCUUUUAAUUAUUAAACUUUAACAUAGAAAAAUUUGACAGUUGACCUAAAAGAUUUUUAUUCGAUCUUCAUUUUUUUUUUUUUUGAGGGGCUCCCAAAAUUUUUUUCUUUAUAUAUUAUAACUUACCUAAAUAUUUUAUUUUCUUAUAUUAUUAAACCUCAACAAAUACAAAGUGUGCCCAAAAUAUUUUUAUCCUUGUAUUAUUAUAAUUUUUUUUUUUUUUUUUUUGCUCUCUCUCACCCUCAUUACAUUAGCAUAUAUACAGACACUAAAUGUUAAGUAUAUAUUUAAAUGAAAAUUGGUGAAACUUUCUAUAUUUUUCUAAGACUCCUAUUAACUUUUAUUUUCUCUUUAUUUUUCUUACUCCUUAUAUAUUUUUUCUCCUCUCUCAUUAUAAUAUUAUUUAUUUAUUUAUUUAUUUUUCAUCUUCUCCACUUUUACAAUUUACAAUCUCACAUAUCUCACCCAGUAAAAUUUUGAAUACACUUAUAUUCUAUUAAAGAAUUUAUUAGAGUAUUAUACCAAAUUAUUCAAAAUCAGUUUCUAUUAUUCUAUAACUUAAAUUAGUUUAUAAUUUUAGUAAUUUUUAUUAUCAUAAAAUUAUAUUUUUUUUUUAUAAUUUUUAUUUAUAUUGUUAAAUGUGACUAUUAGAAAGCACAUGGCCAAUUAAUUAACAAUGGAACUACAAUUUGGAAAAAAUUUAGUGAUAGGUUUAAAAAUCACAAAAUAAAUAAUUAGCAUAAUACUGACAUAAAUAUAUAAGUAGAUUUAAUUAAAAUGCCACUUUAUUUUUUUCGCCUAAGGCCUCAGAUAACAUUGAGCCGCCCCUGCUACCGGUGGAUGAAGACACUGUUGUAUCCUUGAACACAAGUAUUGUAAAGACCGUUUAACACCAUAUUAUACGGGGCAUAAUUUGUCUUAAAGACAUAGUAUCUUAAACUCUCCUCAAUUUAAGUUCCUUUUAUAUUUUAUUUUUUUAUUAAUAAUAUUGUUCUAUCAUUUUAUUUGUAUGCUUAAUUAAAUAGUUGAGUUGAAUAUUUAAUAAAUAAGUAAUUAGUAUAUAAUUUAAUUAUCUCAUAAGUAUAUUAGUAUAAGUUUUUUUUUUUUCUUUUAUCUUAAGUAAUAUAUGAAGCAUAUAUUUUUCAACAUUGGAUAACCACUAUCUACCAACACAGGAAAAUAGUUAACAAUGACUAACCGAGGAAAAUUAUUUAAUCAGAUAGCUCAGAAGUGAUAAUAACUGAAGAGGUUCCAACUGAUAUUGUAGCAAGUCACAGUUAGAAUAUGUGAAUGAACAUUGUCUACAACAUAGGUUAAAAAGUUCCAACAAUGUGAAUAUCAACACUGAUAUGGUGGUAAUACGUUACAUACAGAGUAGUCUGCAGUGUUUUAACGUAUUAUGAAAGGGAUACGUUAUAACAGGUGUGGUUGGUUAAAAUGAUGAGGUGUAUAUAAUCUGAAUAGAUAUGAGUUAUAUUCAAACCAACCAUUGCAACCCAUUAAAAGUGGUUGUGUAUGUUGAUGAAUGGACACUACCAACCAUUGCAACCCAUUGGGAGUGGUUUGUGUAUGUUGACGAAGGGACACCACCAACCAUUGAAACCCAUUGGAAGUGGUUGCGUUUGUUGACAAAGGGACACCACGUUUCCUAUAAAUACCCCCUUGGGGCCAUUUGCAAAAUACACCAACUCAGAAUUCUUCUUUAUGUUUUUGAGUUCUCUGUUUCUCCUUUCUUCUUUUCACUUCUUUGCAUACACAUAGUGUUAAUGUGUGAGUUUGAGUCUGGUUUAGAGAGAGAGUACUACACCGAGCUGGUUUGCUCAUUUCUUCGGUUUGCAGUGCUGCUACCGAAGAAAGAAAGGUCAUUGUAUCCUAGGAGAUAGAAUCCAAUUCUAAACUCAACCAACUAACAAGUUCUUUUUUAUAGUUUUAUUUUAUUAGAAAAUUAUAUAUAUAUAUUAUUGUUCUAUAAUAUAUAUAUAUUAUAUUUUCAUAUAAUAUUUAAAUAGUAAUACUGUAGUAUAUGGUACACUUAAACUAUUUUGGACAACAAACUUAAGACAGAUUUUGUUUUACUAUAGUAUUGUUUUUUAAAUAUUAUUGUUGGUAUAUCAAAUUUUGGUAAAUUGAAUUGCGGUCUAUAUAUUUCAUAUAUAACAGACGAAUGACAAGUAUAAGUACAACUGUGCCUAAUGUUAAACUUAAGACAGAUUUUGUUUUACUAUAGUAUUAUUUUUUAAAUAUUAUUGUUGGUAUAUCAUAUUUUGGUAAAUUGAAUUGCGGUCUAUAUAUUUCAUA